CUGAGGCGCGAAAGCGUGGGGAGCAAACAGGAUUAGAUACCCCUGGUAGUCCACGCCGUAAACGAUGAGUGCUAAGUGUUAGAGGGUUUCCGCCCUUUAGUGCUGCAGCUAACGCAUUAAGCACUCCGCCUGGGGAGUACGGCCGCAAGGCUGAAACUCAAAGGAAUUGACGGGGGCCCGCACAAGCGGUGGAGCAUGUGGUUUAAUUCGAAGCAACGCGAAGAACCUUACCAGGUCUUGACAUCCUCUGACAACCCUAGAGAUAGGGCUUUCCCCUUCGGGGGACAGAGUGACAGGUGGUGCAUGGUUGUCGUCAGCUCGUGUCGUGAGAUGUUGGGUUAAGUCCCGCAACGAGCGCAACCCUUGUCCUUAGUUGCCAGCAUUCAGUUGGACACUCUAAGGAGACUGCCGGUGACAAACCGGAGGAAGGUGGGGAUGACGUCAAAUCAUCAUGCCCCUUAUGACCUGGGCUACACACGUGCUACAAUGGAUGGUACAAAGGGCUGCGAGACCGCGAGGUUUAGCCAAUCCCAUAAAACCAUUCUCAGUUCG
Molecule: ribosomal RNA, 552 nt
Filed under: uncultured bacterium
Lineage: Bacteria
Description: bacterial SSU rRNA
Rfam family: Bacterial small subunit ribosomal RNA
Source: RNAcentral